This 506-nucleotide ribosomal RNA is filed under the name uncultured bacterium. RNAcentral's name for it is "bacterial SSU rRNA". It matches the Rfam family "Bacterial small subunit ribosomal RNA", at positions 19 to 518 of the family's 1533-position model. The record is from RNAcentral.
CUGGCUCAGGAUGAACGCUAGCGGCAGGCUUAACACAUGCAAGUCGAGGGGCAUCGGGAGUAGCAAUACUUGCCGGCGACCGGCGCAAGGGUGCGUAACGCGUGAGCAACAUGCCCGUAUCAGGGGGAUAAUCCAUGGAAACGUGGUCUAAUACCCCAUAGUAAUUAUGUAAGGCAUCUUAUAUAAUUUAAAGCUUUGGUGGAUACGGAUUGGCUCGCGUGACAUUAGCUAGAUGGUAAGGUAACGGCUUACCAUGGCUACGAUGUCUAGGGGUUCUGAGAGGAAGGUCCCCCCACACUGGAACUGAGACACGGUCCAGACUCCUACGGGAGGCAGCAGUGAGGAAUAUUGGACAAUGGAUGGAAAUCUGAUCCAGCCAUGCCGCGUGCAGGAAAGACGGCCCUAUGGGUUGUAAACUGCUUUUGUAUGGGAGCAAUAAGGGCUACGCGUAGUCCGAUGAGAGUACCAUACGAAUAAGCACCGGCUAACUCCGUGCCAGCAGCUGC